This 271-nucleotide unclassified non-coding RNA is filed under the name uncultured fungus. RNAcentral describes it as "partial contains small subunit ribosomal RNA, internal transcribed spacer 1, and 5.8S ribosomal RNA". The stretch from base 1 to 73 matches the Rfam family "Eukaryotic small subunit ribosomal RNA", at positions 1759 to 1831 of the family's 1831-position model. The record is from RNAcentral. Lineage: Eukaryota; Fungi.
GCAAACUUGGUCAUUUAGAGGAAGUAAAAGUCGUAACAAGGUUUCCGUAGGUGAACCUGCGGAAGGAUCAUUAUCGUGGGGCUCCGGCCCUGUCGAGAUAGAACCCUUGCCUUUUUUGAGCACCCGUACCGUUUCCUCGGCAGGCUCGCCUGCCAGUAGGACCCCCCAACCAAACCCUUGUUUAUCAAUCUGUACCAGUCUGAUAUAAAAAACAAACAUCAAAACUUUCAACAACGGAUCUCUUGGUUCUGGCAUCGAUGAAGAACGCAGC